GCUGGGCAUGGUGGUGGGUGCCUGUAAUCCCAGCUACUUGGGAGGCUGAGGCAGGAGAAUUGCUCGAACCUGGGAGGCAGAGGCUGCAGUGAGCUGAGCUUGAGCCACUGCACUCCAGCCUGGGUGACAGAGCAAGACUCCGUCUCAA
RNAcentral lists this non-coding RNA (148 nucleotides) under Chlorocebus sabaeus (green monkey). The record is from Rfam by way of RNAcentral. Lineage: Eukaryota; Metazoa; Chordata; Mammalia; Primates; Cercopithecidae.